Molecule: ribosomal RNA, 495 nt
Filed under: uncultured bacterium
Lineage: Bacteria
Description: partial 16S ribosomal RNA
Rfam family: Bacterial small subunit ribosomal RNA
Source: RNAcentral
GACGAACGCUGGCGGCGUGCCUAAUACAUGCAAGUAGAACGCUGAAGGAGGAGCUUGCUUCUCUGGAUGAGUUGCGAACGGGUGAGUAACGCGUAGGUAACCUGCCUGGUAGCGGGGGAUAACUAUUGGAAACGAUAGCUAAUACCGCAUAAUAGUAGAUGUUGCAUGACAUUUGCUUAAAAGGUGCAAUUGCCUCACUACCAGAUGGACCUGCGUUGUAUUAGCUAGUUGGUGGGGUAACGGCUCACCAAGGCGACGAUACAUAGCCGACCUGAGAGGGUGAUCGGCCACACUGGGACUGAGACACGGCCCAGACUCCUACGGGAGGCAGCAGUAGGGAAUCUUCGGCAAUGGACGGAAGUCUGACCGAGCAACGCCGCGUGAGUGAAGAAGGGUUUCGGAUCGUAAAGCUCUGUUGUAAGAGAAGAACGAGUGUGAGAGUGGAAAGUUCACACUGUGACGGUAUCUUACCAGAAAGGGACGGCUAACUACGUG